CAAGUCGAACGAUGAAGUUCCUUCGGGAAUGGAUUAGUGGCGAACAGGUGAGGAACACGUGAGAAAACCUGCCUUUUCAUUCUGGAAUAACACCGGGAAACCGGUGCUAAUACCGGACACUCCAUCUUGGCGGCAUCGCCGAGCUGGGAAAAAAUUUUGAUGAAAGAUGGUCUCGCGGCCUAUCAGCUAGUUGGUGAGGUAAAGGCUCACCAAGGCGACGACGGGUAGCCGGCCUGAGAGGGCGACCGGCCACACUGGGACUGAGACACGGCCCAGACUCC
Molecule: ribosomal RNA, 281 nt
Filed under: unidentified marine bacterioplankton
Lineage: Bacteria
Description: partial 16S ribosomal RNA
Rfam family: Bacterial small subunit ribosomal RNA
Source: RNAcentral